RNAcentral lists this unclassified non-coding RNA (501 nucleotides) under uncultured Glomus. RNAcentral's name for it is "SSU rRNA". It matches the Rfam family "Eukaryotic small subunit ribosomal RNA", at positions 569 to 1072 of the family's 1831-position model. The record is from RNAcentral. Lineage: Eukaryota; Fungi; Glomeromycota; Glomeromycetes; Glomerales; Glomeraceae.
AGCAGCCGCGGUAAUUCCAGCUCCAAUAGCGUAUAUUAAAGUUGUUGCAGUUAAAAAGCUCGUAGUUGAACUUCGGGGUUUACUCAUUGGUCAGGCUUAAUUGUCUGUACUGGUGAGAUGAAUCUCUACCUUCUGAGGAACUUUCAUGCCAUUUAUUUGGUGUGGUUGGAAAUCAGGACUGUUACUUUGAAAAAAUUAGAGUGUUUAAAGCAGGCUAACGUCUGAAUACAUUAGCAUGGAAUAAUGAAAUAGGACGGAUUGAUUCUAUUUCGUUGGUUUCUAGGGUCACCGUAAUGAUUAAUAGGGAUAGUUGGGGGCAUUAGUAUUCAAUUGUCAGAGGUGAAAUUCUUGGAUUUAUUGAAGACUAACUACUGCGAAAGCAUUUGCCAAGGAUGUUUUCAUUAAUCAAGAACGAAAGUUAGGGGAUCGAAGACGAUCAGAUACCGUCGUAGUCUUAACCAUAAACUAUGCCGACUAGGAAUCAGACGAUGUUAAUUUUUU